RNAcentral lists this ribosomal RNA (429 nucleotides) under Pseudomonadota bacterium. Its description in RNAcentral is "Proteobacteria bacterium partial 16S ribosomal RNA". It matches the Rfam family "Bacterial small subunit ribosomal RNA", at positions 355 to 776 of the family's 1533-position model. The record is from RNAcentral. Lineage: Bacteria; Pseudomonadati; Pseudomonadota.
UGGGGAAUAUUGGACAAUGGGCGAAAGCCUGAUCCAGCCAUGCCGCGUGUUUGAAGAAGGUCUUCGGAUUGUAAAGCACUUUAAGUUGGGAGGAAGGGCAGUAAGCGAAUACCUUGCUGUUUUGACGUUACCGACAGAAUACGCACCUGCUAACUCUGUGCCAGCAGCCGCGGUAAUACAGAGGGUGCAAGCGUUAAUCGGAAUUACUGGGCGUAAAGCGCGCGUAGGUGGUUCGUUAAGUUGAAUGGGAAAGACGCGGGCUCAACCAAGGAACAGCAUCCAAAACUGGCGAGCUAGAGAAGGGCAGAGGGUGGUGGAAUGUCCUGUGUAGGGGUGAAAAGCGUAGAUAUAGGAAGGAAAACCAGUGGCGAAGGGGAACACCUGGGCUAAAACUGACAAUGAGAUGCGAAAGCGUGGGGAGCAAACAGG